GCCCCAGUACGGCGAGUGAAGCGGCAACAGCUCAAAUUUGAAAUCUGGCCUUCUGGUCCGAAUUGUAAUUUGUAGAGGAUGCCUUUGGUUAGGUACCUUCCGAGUUCCUUGGAACAGGACGCCUUAGAGGGUGAGAGCCCCGUACGGUUGGAUACCGAGCCUCUGUAAAGCUCCUUCGACGAGUCGAGUAGUUUGGGAAUGCUGCUCUAAAUGGGAGGUAAAUUUCUUCUAAAGCUAAAUACCGGCCAGAGACCGAUAGCGCACAAGUAGAGUGAUCGAAAGAUGAAAAGCACUUUGAAAAGAGGGUUAAAUAGUACGUGAAAUUGUUGAAAGGGAAGGGCUUAUGACCAGACCUUUUGCCUUGCGGAUCAUCCGGUGUUCUCACCGGUGCACUUCGCUUGGUUUAGGCCAGCAUCGAUUUCGGUAGGGGGAUAAAGACUUUAGUAAUGUGGCUCCUCCGGGAGUGUUAUAGACUAUUGUGUAAUGCCUUUACUGGGAUCGAGGACCGCGCUUCGGCUAGGAUGCUGGCAUAAUGGUCAUCAGCCACCCGUCUUGAAACACGGACCAAGGAGUCGAACAUUUAUGCGAGUGUUUGGGUGUUAAACCCUCACGCGAAUGAAAGUGAACGGAGGUGAGAGCCCUUUUGGGUGCAUCAUCGACCGAUCCUGAUGUCUUCGGAUGGAUUUGAGUAAGAGCAUAACUGUUCGGACCCGAAAGAUGGUGAACUAUGCGUGGAUAGGGUGAAGCCAGAGGAAACUCUGGUGGAGGCUCGCAGCGGUUCUGACGUGCAAAUCGAUCGUCAAAUCUGCGCAU
Molecule: ribosomal RNA, 813 nt
Filed under: Idriella lunata
Lineage: Eukaryota; Fungi; Ascomycota; Sordariomycetes; Xylariales; Microdochiaceae
Description: eukaryotic LSU rRNA
Rfam family: Eukaryotic large subunit ribosomal RNA
Source: RNAcentral